Lycium ferocissimum is the source of this 152-nucleotide ribosomal RNA. RefSeq annotates it as 5.8S ribosomal RNA. The transcript has a single exon. Lineage: Eukaryota; Viridiplantae; Streptophyta; Magnoliopsida; Solanales; Solanaceae. The record is from RefSeq and is a predicted model, not a curated record.
AAAGAAUAGUAACAUCUCGGUUUUCGCAUCGAUGAAGAACGUAGCGAAAUGCGAUACUUGGUGUGAAUUGCAGAAUCCCCUCAACCAUCGAGUCUUUGAACGCAAAUUGCGCCAAAAGCCAUUAGGCCGGGGACACGUUUGCCUAGGCGUCA